RNA transcript from Oncorhynchus kisutch (coho salmon), 6096 nucleotides. It is a transcript of the gene named arf-GAP with Rho-GAP domain, ANK repeat and PH domain-containing protein 1, with no coding region annotated. The transcript is spliced from 28 exons. The record is from RefSeq and is a predicted model, not a curated record. Lineage: Eukaryota; Metazoa; Chordata; Actinopteri; Salmoniformes; Salmonidae.
AGAGAAGCUGCUGUAAAUGUCAGACAGAGGCUGUUUGUUCAGGGUGAUUGCAGUUUCAUGAGGAACAUCAGUCUCUCUGACAGCAGUUUACUAAGCCCACAUCCUGUAUAUACCUGCUGUGAUAAGAGGAACAUUGUCAGACGGAUGGGGCUCGCAAUCCCUAGCAGGUUGCCAGAUGACAGUGCCCAUUUCUUACUCAAACCCCGUCAGUUUACCAAUGUGAACUAAUCUCAGACUCUGAGAAAACAUGAAUGAGGUACUGUAUGAAGUUACUGUAUUAAUUUACUUCCUUACCAUCAGUUGUGAGGUCUGACUCUCUGUUGGAUGGUGUGGUUUUUCAUUGGAACGUGACGCAGCUGUACAUUUCCCGACAUAACCGAGCAACUAUUUAUUUACUGUAAUCCUUUGGCUUCGGUUAUUCGUCUCAGAUGUCAUGGCAGACCAGGAGGAUUCAUUGCGAGCUAUGCAGAACUGCUUCCGCAGUCAGUUUAGUAUGGAGGAGGUUGAGUGUGAAGACAUUGAAGCGAGCAGGAGAACAUCAUCGGUUGAUGAAGACAGUAUCUAUCUUGCCUGCACACUGUCACGAUCAUACGACCUCGGAGACUCUGAUCUUCACCACACUCCUGUUAUCAAGAUGGGCUGGCUGGACAAGACCCCACCUCAGGGGAGCCUUAUUUUCCAGAAGCGUUGGGUGAUGUUGGAUGCACAGUACCUGCGAUACUUUCAAAAUGAGAAGGAGGUCUACUCAAAGCGGAUCAUAGCCAUACUGUUUGUCACUGAAGUGCUUAACGUUGGAGAGCAGAAGUUUGAGGUGGUGACAAGGAACAGGACUUUCUUGUUCCGUGCUGAAAACAACACUGUCAGGGAGGAAUGGGUGUCAGUACUGAAAGAAACUAUUCAGCAGCGUCGUAGCAGCAUGGAGAUGUCCCUUAUGAACUUCAGUUUUACUAGUGGACAGCGUGAUAGUGGAGUCUCUCUCAUUAGUAAACAAGGAUACCUGGAGAUGAAUGGACUGCGCUCCAAGGUCUAUGUAGUCAUCUGUGCUGACAGGGUCUUCCUCUACGGGAACGCUGAGGAGCACAGCCAGGGUGUUGGCAUCACCUACAUUGAGAUGAAUGUGGGUACUGUGAAGAGCACAGACAAACGGUCCUUCAACCUCACCACCUUCUACAGAACAUUCAGUUUCCUGGCCGAGUCGGCGCAGCAGAGGGAUCAGUGGGUGGAGGCCCUGCAGGACUGUGUCAGUCGCUCUCUGUCCAGUGAUGUGGUGGCCCAGAAGAUCUGGGCUGUGGAGGCCAACCAGCGCUGUGCAGACUGUGGCGCCCCCCAUCCAGACUGGGCCUCUGUCAACCUCUGUGUGGUCCUUUGCAAGUGCUGUGCAGGUGUGCACAGGGGUCUGGGCCAGAGUGUGUCCAAAGUUCGCAGUCUGAGAAUGGAUGAAAAGGUGUGGACUGAUAACCUUAUUCAGGUGUUCCUGUUAGGUAACAACAGGGUAAACCUGUUCUGGGCAGCUAACACGCCACCAAGCGAGGCGCUCCAACCAUCAAGUGAUAGUGAGAAGCGCCAGCGCUUUGUCUCUGCUAAGUACUGUCAGGGGAAAUAUCGCCGCUACCAUGCUCUGUUUGGCCAACAGGAGGCCCUCAACAAAGCUCUGUGCAGUACCGUUCAGACGGAUGAUGUAUUGGAGACUCUGUCUCUGGUGUUCUGUGGAGCAGAUGUGAACUGUUAUACAGGUGAUCCAGAGCUGCCCAGCCCUGUGUCCGUGGCCCAACACUAUGGACAGAUAUUACAGGUGGAGUUCUUAACUCACAACCACAACACAGAUCUGCCAGGGUCUAGGGCUGGAAAUCACACACUCCUAGAGGCUGAUCUCCCCGUCUCACACACUGGUUAUCUCUUCAAGACCGCUUCUUCAAUACGGCCAGUAACAGAGUGCAAAGCAAGAGGAGAUUUUAGCCGUCGAUGGUGCUCUCUGAACCAAGGUAACUUCAGCUACUAUGAGAGCGAGAAGAGCUCCAGUCAGAGCGGCGGGAUGAAGAUGAGUGAUGUCCUGUGUCUGUUGGUCAAUCCCCCAGGGAAACAUGGUUAUGCCCAUUCCUUUGAGCUGUACCAUGACUCUGGGAGAGUCUAUCUAUUUGGAGAAGACUCCUCUGACAAAGUGAAAGGGUGGAUCAAGGCCAUCGCCAAGGCGCUGGUCCCCUCUGCAGCAGAGGACCUGGUGUGCUGGCCCUUUGCGAGGGUGGGUCGGUUGAGCUACACUGAGGGCCAGAGCCACCAUAGCCCCCUCCUGGGCUGGUUCUCCCUGGGGGGCUCCAGACUGCUCCUACUCCUCCACGGAGCAGAUCGAGUGGAGAACAUCGACCUGCGCAAAAUAAAGGAGCUCUCCAUGGAGCAGGAGGCUGGUGCUGGUGCUGUGGUGCUGGUGGACGGAGGCAGAAGCCUGCGUGUGGAGGGGGACAGGAGGCCUGACUUCCAGGGCUGGCUGAGUGGGCUCCAACAGGGCUCAGGGAGAGGAGAUGGCCCCCUGGACCAGCAGCAGCUCACUGACACAGACGUCCCUGUCAUCGUGGACCGCUGCAUGAGCUACAUCACACAGCAUGGUUUGAAGUCAGAGGGCAUCUAUCGGAGGUGUGGUGUGAACUCCAAGAUCGCCGCCCUGCUGUUCUUUCUCCGCCAUGACGCCCGGCAGGUCCGUCUGAAUGAAGGGGAGCGCCAGGUGGAUGACGUGGCAAACGUCCUGAAGAGGUUCCUCAGGGAAGUGGGAGAGGGGGUUUUCAAUGGCCAUCAGGCCUCUCUGCCAUGGCUCCACACCACUACUGUCAGUGCGAUGAGUGAGAGAGUGUCCCAGUACCAGGCCCUCCUCCACAGCCUCCCCCGAGUCAACAGAGCCACUCUGGGGGCUGUCAUCAACCACCUCUACUGCGUCCAGUGCUUUGCAGAUGAGAAUCAGAUGAACAUGCACAACCUGGCCAUUGUGUUUGGUCCCACGCUCUUCCAGAUGGACGGCACUGAUAACAGCGCAGGACAGGUGGUAGAGGAUCUCAUCCAGAACUACCAGGACAUCUUCAAUGUGGAUGCAGAGCAGUUUCAGAGACAGUUGGACAUGAUCUCGCAUGUCAUCAAAGCACAGAAGGAACACACAGAGGAGGAUGGCUGUUGGCCUGCUGCGUCUCUCUCUUCAUACUGUUCUGUAGGGAAGCCCCUCACCUCUCACCAUCUGCGGGGUUUACCUGGAGAGGAAGGAGGAGGGCUCUGAGCUGCUGGUUCAGAUCUCCCAGGAAGUGAGUGCUGAAGAGCUGGUAUGUAAGGUCCUGAGACGCAGGAACAUCCCUCCACAGCAGGGGGACUACUGGAGCUGCUUCCUGGUCGACAACAACCAGGAGAUAGAGCGUCCAUUGCACUAUCAGGAGCAAGCGCUGACUAUCUAUUUCUCUCUGGGCAAAGACUGUCAUCUGGUGGUCAAGAAGAACUGCUACAUGGAGGCCAUUCUUACCUACAUAGCAGGCAGGGUAGAUGUCUCCCGAAACGGCCUGAUCAAGUUCUGUGAAGAGAAAGGUCAAAGGGGUAAGGGAACCUUCAGCAGACGCCUCUGUGUGCUCAGUGGCUUGUCUCUAAGGCUGUACAAAGAUGUGAAGAGUUCUCAGCCUGAGAGGGAGUGUCAAAUCAACGCUCUGAAGGUCUACUGUGGUAUCAAGAGGAAGUUACAGCCACCGUCAUGCUGGGGGAUGACUGUAGUGUGUGAGAAGGCAGUACGAGACAUACAGCAAUGGUACCUGUGCUGUGAAUCAAAGAACGAGUUGAUCGAGUGGCUGGCCACUUUUAUGAGCCUCCAGCAUGAUGGUGAUCUGUGGCCAGCAGCUUCCAGGCUAGAUUCCUGAUCUGAGGCUGAAGGGGAAAUAACCUGAUCCUGCUUUCCCAUCCCAUCUACUACUAGAGAUGUUUUCAAGUCUUCAGGUCUUUCCUGGAAAGAAAUGCGCUUUCACUGUAUAUCAAAUCAAUAACCUCAAAGUAUAUAUUUUCUCUGUCAAUAUUUGGUUGAACCUAUUUAUAACCCACAGCUAUGGUAAUAACAGGGGAGGCAGUAUAGAACUACACUAUAACAACAAACUCCCAUUCUAGAAAUGAGUAACAAUAAUAUUAGAGGCACAUGAGAAAUAUAAUCUAAACGCUAUGUUGACUUUGAGGUUCCCUUUUAUGGGGACAUAAUGACCAUGUUGGAGAGCUGCAGUCGUAAAGCCAUCUAAGAUGAGACACAGUGCUUUCUGUUCAUGUCAUUAUGGUAACAGUGGUGGUCAGUAAUGAUUGGAGAGCAGGAUUUCUACGCUGUCACUACUCAAGACCACAGCUUGUUGCAUUACAGAGAUGUGCAGUUUAUAUUACUUUCAUUAAUUUCAUUAGCUCAUCCUUCAACAGAACCUUAACAUGAAAAGGAAUCUGAGUUGUAAGGCUAGCUACACAGCACCCUUAGAGCAGCCAGGGCAGGGAAAGGAGACCGAUCCGGUUGCUAUUGCAGAUUCAGCAUCGAUCCAGUGCCGGGCUGGUCGAAGCCCUAGAGGUUUCUCUCUCUCUGUAUCUAAAUCUGGGUCGUUCCACCAAGUCGGUGGCUUUUGAGAAGUGUAACUUUAAAAACAUUUUUAUCUUCAUAAAAAAAAAACGUUUUAAAUAACGUUUCAAAUAAAGUAACAGGGUUGAUGAUUUCAUUUUUUUAAAGCCAGAAAUCCCCUUGUGACAGGGGGAAUGGAAGCUUGUUGUGCACAACAGGGAGUGGCAGUUGAAUGCAAUCUUCACAACAUCAACAAAAAUAUUUUUGGGAUGUUGUUGUUAAGUUGGUUAAAAUCCUCCUAGAUGUCAGAGAGGGACCUGUCAAAAAGCUGACUUUUAGAACUUUAGUAAAUCUUUAUUCAUAUACAAAAAAUCUGAUUGAUUGAAUUCUUCAUGUUGUCUAUAUUAAAGAUGCACUACGGGGAUCUUAAGCAUAACACAUUUGUUGCAUAAUGCACAAAUUAUUGUACCAUAUCACACAAAAUUGCAGAAUACAUAUGAUUUCAUGCAAAUUGCAAAAUGUGUAACAUAUCACACGAAAUGAAAGGCCUAGUACACAAAAUAACAGAGAGCACUUUCGGCUCUGAGCACCACUUUCCAAACUACUGGCUGAAAUUAUACAAACGUUAGAGAGAACAUCUUUAAAAGGCCUUUCAUUUCAUACAUACAAGCUAUAAACACUACAUAUUGGUGCACAAUUUCUACUUCAAAUAUCAAAGGGAUGCAAAUGCCACUCUUUUUGUGGAACGACCCAUCUCCUCUUCACGAGCUGCAGAGAUGCUGCUGCUCAGAUAGACACCAUAACAGCAUUCCGCUGUACUGAGAGGGUGGACUGGGGUUAGAGCUGUGAAGACGGGGCCCUGUUCCAGCUGUUUGGGACUGUGACUGACAGGUGACAGCGAUGGGCCAGGCAUGUGGAAACUCCUUCUUGUGCCGUAGUCAGCAGUUCCAGCCAUCGACAACAGCAGAGAUGUAAGUGUAUACAUGUUGAUGCGCUGGGUGGUUGUGUCUGAAGUACAACAGAAUAUGCUGAUUAUACAUCAUUAUCUGAGUACCUGAUUGUGAUAACGAAAUGUUGAUAUCAUUGUGUAUCAUUCAAAGUUGAAUUUGUCUUUGAAAUACAAUGUGUAUGGUUUUUGUGUUUCUUAAAAUCAUUAUCCCACCGUUCCUUUUAUGUCUGAGGUCAGGAUGCUGUGGCCAUUAAAAAUCCUCUUUGACUUGGUUGGUUGAUCAAAGCAAAACAUUACCGAUUUAAUAAAUCCACUUCUACUGUAGAAGAAGCAUAGAAAUAAAAGGCCUGUCAGUGUUUGAUCAUUUCCCCUUCAAAAUAAAAAAAAAGUCUGAAGAGGUAGAGAAGUAGAUUAUUUCUACACCCUAGAUCUCUGAUGGUAAAUUGUUUAUUGUAGCCUUUGAUAUGGAUGUGUUUGCAAAAAUGGCUCGCCUAAAACACUGUAGUAGGUAGUCUCUUCACACUGCCGCUGUAUCUAGAGUCUAGACUAUUUGAAUGGCAAUCACAGUCCAUUUUUGUCAUAAAUAAAAACAUUUCAAGACUUU